Molecule: ribosomal RNA, 347 nt
Filed under: uncultured soil bacterium
Lineage: Bacteria
Description: bacterial SSU rRNA
Rfam family: Bacterial small subunit ribosomal RNA
Source: RNAcentral
AGAUUGAACGCUGGCGGCAUGCCUAACACAUGCAAGUCGAACGGGAGUAGCAAUACUCUAGUGGCGGACGGGUGAGGAAUACGUAGGAAUUUGCCCUUAAGUGGGGGAUAACCCGGGGAAACCCGGAUUAAUACCGCAUGACCUCGAAAGAGCAAAGUGGGGGAUCGCAAGACCUCACGCUUUUGGAGAAGCCUACGUCGGAUUAGCUAGUUGGUGAGUAAUGGCUCACCAAGGCGACGAUCCGUAACUGGUCUGAGAGGAUGAUCAGUCACACCGGAACUGACGACACGGUCCGACGUCCCGUACGGGAGGCAGGCAGGUGGGGGUAAUGUUAGGACAAGUGGGCG